CUUCUUUUAGAAGGUUUUAUGUUUUUUACUCUCUCUCUCUUUCAUGUCUUCUCGAUCUGCUCUGAAGAAGAGUUUCUGUUCUGAAGAAAUCCAACCAGCUGAAAGCAUCAAUCUGGGUUUUUAGGUCAUCUGUGAGAUUCAGAAGCAUCGAUCUGAUAAUCAGUUCUCUAUGGAGAAAAAGGAAGAUGAGAAAGCAAAUAAGAUAACUUUUAGGAGCGUCCCAGAAUUUAGAGGGCUAUU
Molecule: long non-coding RNA, 240 nt
Organism: Papaver somniferum (opium poppy)
Lineage: Eukaryota; Viridiplantae; Streptophyta; Magnoliopsida; Ranunculales; Papaveraceae
Exons: 3
Source: RefSeq, a predicted model, not a curated record